UUUGGUGUAUUUUUAAUGAUAUAUAUGAGUAGUCAAAAUAAUUAUUACGUCUGGCAAGGCUUUUUAAAUUUUAUUCUGGGACACCUUCCUAUGACCACAAGGCUAUGUUAAUUUUUUUCUGGGACGCCUUCUUAGGAAGCCUUCCUACGAACGUCUUAGGAAGGCGUCCCAGAAAAAAAUAAAAUAGCCUUGUCAGACGUCAUUAUUAUUUGGACUAAUACAUCAGAUAUUUGGAUAUUUUUAUGCAUU
This 249-nucleotide long non-coding RNA is filed under the name Mytilus galloprovincialis (Mediterranean mussel). Lineage: Eukaryota; Metazoa; Mollusca; Bivalvia; Mytilida; Mytilidae. The record is from RNAcentral.